AACGAACGCUGGCGGCAGGCCUAACACAUGCAAGUCGAGCGGACCCUUCGGGGUUAGCGGCGGACGGGUGAGUAACGCGUGGGAAUAUGCCCUUCUCUACGGAAUAGUCCUGGGAAACUGGGGGUAAUACCGUAUACGCCCUUUGGGGGAAAGAUUUAUCGGGGAAGGAUUAGCCCGCGUUGGAUUAGGUAGUUGGUGGGGUAAUGGCCUACCAAGCCGACGAUCCAUAGCUGGUUUGAGAGGAUGAUCAGCCACACUGGGACUGAGACACGGCCCAGACUCCUAUGGGAGGCAGCAGUGGGGAAUCUUAGACAAUGGGGGCAACCCUGAUCUAGCCAUGCCGCGUGAGUGAUGAAGGCCUUAGGGUUGUAAAGCUCUUUCAGCUGGGAAGAUAAUGACGGUACCAGCAGAAGAAGCCCCGGCUAACUCCGUG
RNAcentral lists this ribosomal RNA (433 nucleotides) under uncultured bacterium. RNAcentral's name for it is "partial 16S ribosomal RNA". It matches the Rfam family "Bacterial small subunit ribosomal RNA", at positions 29 to 507 of the family's 1533-position model. The record is from RNAcentral.